CCAACAGGGAUUGCCUCAGUAACGGCGAGUGAAGCGGCAACAGCUCAAAUUUGAAAUCUGGCCCUAGGCCCGAGUUGUAAUUUGCAGAGGAUGCUUCUGGCGCGGUGCCUUCCAAGUCCCCUGGAACGGGGCGCCAUAGAGGGUGAGAGCCCCGUCUGGUUGGCCGCCAAGCCUGUGUGAAGCUCCUUCGACGAGUCGAGUAGUUUGGGAAUGCUGCUCUAAAUGGGAGGUAGACCCCUUCUAAAGCUAAAUAUUGGCCAGAGACCGAUAGCGCACAAGUAGAGUGAUCGAAAGAUGAAAAGCACUUUGAAAAGAGGGUUAAACAGUACGUGAAAUUGUUGAAAGGGAAGCGCUUGUGACCAGACGUGCGUCGGGGUGUUCAGCGGGCGUUCUCGCCCGUGCACUCGCCCCGGCGCAGGCCAGCGUCGGUUCGGGCGGGGGGACAAAGGCGUCGGGAACGUAGCUCCUCCGGGAGUGUUAUAUCCCAGCGUGCCAUGCCCCCGCCUGGACCGAGGUUCGCGCUCCGCAAGGACGCUGGCGUAAUGGUCCCCAGCGGCCCGUCUUGAAACACGGACCAAGGAGUCGAGGUUUUGCGCGAGUGUUUGGGUGUCAAACCCGCACGCGUAAUGAAAGUGAACGCAGGUGGGAGCUUCGGCGCACCACCGACCGAUCCUGAUGUUCUCGGAUGGAUUUGAGUAAGAGCGUAGGGCCUCGGACCCGAAAGAUGGUGAACUAUACGUGAAUAGGGUGAAGCCAGAGGAAACUCUGGUGGAGGCUCGCAGCGGUUCUGACGUGCAAAUCGAUCGUCAAAUUUGCGUAUGGGGGCGAAAGACUAAUCGAACCAU
This 845-nucleotide ribosomal RNA is filed under the name Thozetella pinicola. RNAcentral describes it as "partial large subunit ribosomal RNA". It matches the Rfam family "Eukaryotic large subunit ribosomal RNA", at positions 65 to 943 of the family's 3401-position model. Lineage: Eukaryota; Fungi; Ascomycota; Sordariomycetes; Chaetosphaeriales; Chaetosphaeriaceae. The record is from RNAcentral.